Lupinus albus (white lupine) is the source of this 2115-nucleotide non-coding RNA. NCBI's taxonomy places the organism in Eukaryota, Viridiplantae, Streptophyta, Magnoliopsida, Fabales, Fabaceae. The record is from the annotation of a GenBank genome assembly.
UUUAUUAUGGUGCAAGUAAAUUGGAACAACCAUAUGGCUAAAUGAUUAUGUGUUUAACAUGGCCAUUCCCAAUAAGGCAAGACUUAAGUGUGUCUUGAAUGUGCCAAUUUGAAUUUGAGGUUGGCUGAUUGGCUUUCCACGUAUUUUCCCAAUAAGACAAGUCUUAAGUGUGUCUUGAAAGUGCCAAUUUGAAUUUGAGGCUGACUGGUUGAUUUUCCACGUGUUUCCCAAUAAGGCAAGUCUUAAGUGUGUCUUGAAUGUGCUAAUAUGAACUUGAGGCUGACUAGUUGAUUUUCCACGUGUUUUCCCAAUAAGGCAAGUCUUAAGUGUGUCUUGAAUGUGCCAAUUUGAAUUUGAGGCUGGCUGGUUGAUGUUCCACGUGUUUUCCCAAUAAGGCAAGUCUUAAGUGUGUCUUGAAUGUGCCAAUUUGAAUUUGAGGCUGGCUGGUUGAUGUUCCACGUGUUUUCCCAAUAAGGCAAGUCUUAAGUGUGUCUUGAAUGUGCUAAUUUGAACUUGAGGCUGGUUAGUUGAUUUUCCACGUGUUUUCCCAAUAAGGCAGUCUUGAAUGUGUGUUGAAUGUGUCAAUUCGAAUUUAAAGUUGGCUGGAAGAUUCUCCAAGUGUUGUGUGGCUGGUUCAUGGUAAGUUUCAAUAGGUAGCCGAAUUUGGAAAUUAUUAAUUCACCUCUUCAAGGCUUUGGACACAUGUUUGAAUUGAGUCAUCAAGGUUGUGUUAACUUCUUGCUGGUCGAGUUUGGAAAGUCUUAAUUCGUCCAUUGUAGCACAUGUUUAUACUUGGUUCGAAUUUGAAUUGAGUCAUCAAUGUGGCCUUAACUCCUUGCGGGCCGAGUUUGGAAAGUCUUAAAUAAGCCAUUAUAGCACAUGUUUGCACCUGGUCCGAAUUUGGAAAGCAUUAAUAAGAACUUCAACGUGUCCAUGCCUAUCCUAGUCACCCACACGGUUGAAAUAGGAUAUGUUCCUUCACAACUUGGUUGGUCACACUUGGCUUAGGCUGGUCAAGACAUCUCCAUAGCUCUUUCUUCAUAUGGCAAUUAUAGGUUACAUGACACAAGGCCAAUAAUGGGCUAUAAAGCUUAAAACAUAAACUAAACUUAUUGUCCAAGUAAAAUAAAACAUAACUUAAAAUAAUGGUGGGACAUAAGACCCCCACUUAUUUAAUGCAAAAAUAAUGUAAAGAUCAUUAAGCCCUUAAGGAAAAGUGACCUCCAUCAGGUGGUUCAUCUAGUUAUAUGGCAUGCUUGAUGGAAUAUUAUUUAUGAAAUUAUUCGAGUACACUUCCACAUUGUUCCUCCUUAGUGAUUUGAUAUGAAUAAUAUUAGUUUCACAACUAGGGCUGAAAACAUGCUAUGUCGCGUGCAAGAAAGGCCUUGUACCUGAUCUAUAAUAGGCCAGACUAUACUAUUUUCAUAAACAAGUUAGACUAAGACUUUUAAAAAAUCUAUUUAACUUUACUGAACAGGUUUUAGACCUUCAAAAAAAGCUUAUUAAACAUUACAAGCCAACAUAUUUAAAUAAACGUAUUCAAAAGCAAACAUAUUAGGGUAUUUAAAGAAGAUUUAUUGACUGGUCGUAAAUUUCUUUUAAAUAGGUAAAUAUGUUAAACCCAAUCUAUUAUUAUUAAACGGAACAUGUUUAAGGUAAAUUUCAACAUGUUUGAACCAUGAAUAGAAUAAGCUAUACAGUGGCAAGAGAGUAAAAGAAGUUUGGUCUUGCAUAUAUUUUGGAAUCAAAUUUUCCAAUUUUGACGAUUCAACCUAUCAAAGUUAGAUUAAAGUGUAUGCAAUCAAUUGGUCAAUUCAUUAGUAAGUUAAAUUUCUUAUAAAUGAUUUGAUAUCAGAGUUGGUGUACAGUUCGGCUGGUAAUGUGUCCAUUAAUUAAUUCUAAUUUAAAUUUUUAAUAUUUAUUCUCUAAUAAUGGAGUAUCUAAUGUUAAUUAAGAUGAUAUAUAAUAAAUGUUAAAUAUUUGAUUUAUGUAAUCGGUUAUAGUUAAUGAGAUUAAUACUUAGUUAUUUUUUAAAAGUGCCUUAUUGUUAUAAGUGUUGAUUAAAUUGAAUGGAUUUGAUCCUAAUUAAUAGAAAGAUAUCCAUAAAUUCAUAUA